This 497-nucleotide ribosomal RNA is filed under the name uncultured bacterium. RNAcentral describes it as "partial 16S ribosomal RNA". It matches the Rfam family "Bacterial small subunit ribosomal RNA", at positions 28 to 507 of the family's 1533-position model. The record is from RNAcentral.
GAUGAACGCUGGCGGCGUGCCUAAUACAUGCAAGUCGAGCGAACGGACGAGAAGCUUGCUUUUCUGAUGUUAGCGGCGGACGGGUGAGUAACACGUGGAUAACCUACCUAUAAGACUGGGAUAACCUCGGGUAACCGGAGCUAAUACCGGAUAAUAUUUUGAACCGCAUGGUUCAAAAGUGAAAGACGGUCUUGCUGUCACUUAUAGAUGGAUCCGCGUUGCAUUAGCUAGUUGGUAAGGUAACGGCUUACCAAGGCAACGAUGCAUAGCCGACCUGAGAGGGUGAUCGGCCACACUGGAACUGAGACACGGUCCAGACUCCUACGGGAGGCAGCAGUAGGGAAUCUUCCGCAAUGGGCGAAAGCCUGACGGAGCAACGCCGCGUGAGUGAUGAAGGUCUUCGGAUCGUAAAACUCUGUUAUUAGGGAAGAACAUAUGUGUAAGUAACUGUGCACAUCUUGACGGUACCUAAUCAGAAAGCCACGGCUAACUACGUG